UACGUAGGUGGCAAGCGUUGUCCGGAUUUAUUGGGUUUAAAGGGUGCGUAGGCGGCUUUGUAAGUCAGUGGUGAAAUAUGGCAGCUUAACUGUCAGGGUGCCAUUGAUACUGCGAGGCUUGAGUACAGAUGAGGUAGGCGGAAUUGACGGUGUAGCGGUGAAAUGCUUAGAUAUCGUCAAGAACACCUAUAGCGAAGGCAGCUUACUAGGCUGUAACUGACGCUGAGGCACGAAAGUGUGGGGAUCAAACAGG
RNAcentral lists this ribosomal RNA (253 nucleotides) under uncultured Ohtaekwangia sp. Its description in RNAcentral is "partial 16S ribosomal RNA". It matches the Rfam family "Bacterial small subunit ribosomal RNA", at positions 524 to 776 of the family's 1533-position model. Lineage: Bacteria; Pseudomonadati; Bacteroidota; Cytophagia; Cytophagales; Fulvivirgaceae. The record is from RNAcentral.